UACGGAGGGGGCUAGCGUUGUUCGGAAUUACUGGGCGUAAAGCGUGCGCAGGCGGCUUGCCAAGUCAGAUGUGAAAGCCCCGGGCUUAACCUGGGAAUGGCGUUUGAAACUGGCAGGCUAGAGUUUGGCAGAGGGGGGUGGAAUUCCACGUGUAGCAGUGAAAUGCGUAGAGAUGUGGAGGAACACCGAUGGCGAAGGCAGCCCCCUGGGCCAAAACUGACGCUCAGGCACGAAAGCGUGGGGAGCAAACAGG
This 253-nucleotide ribosomal RNA is filed under the name uncultured bacterium. RNAcentral describes it as "partial 16S ribosomal RNA". It matches the Rfam family "Bacterial small subunit ribosomal RNA", at positions 524 to 776 of the family's 1533-position model. The record is from RNAcentral.